The submitters of this non-coding RNA (82 nucleotides) gave its source as unclassified sequences. The record is from Rfam.
UGCCACUCGGCAAAAAUACGCCACAUCAGGUGGGAGCUAGUAGGACCGGACAGGUCUCGAAAACCCUCAAGGCUAAAAGAAA